Molecule: signal recognition particle RNA, 149 nt
Filed under: Gorilla gorilla gorilla (western lowland gorilla)
Lineage: Eukaryota; Metazoa; Chordata; Mammalia; Primates; Hominidae
Description: Metazoan signal recognition particle RNA
Rfam family: Metazoan signal recognition particle RNA
About the family: The signal recognition particle (SRP) is a universally conserved ribonucleoprotein. It is involved in the co-translational targeting of proteins to membranes. The eukaryotic SRP consists of a 300-nucleotide 7S RNA and six proteins: SRPs 72, 68, 54, 19, 14, and 9.
Source: Rfam by way of RNAcentral
GCCAGGUGUGGUGGCGCGCACCUGUAGUCCCAGCUGCUCGGGAGGCUGAGGCAGGAGAAUUGCUUGAGCCCAGGAGGCCGGAGGUUGCAGUGAGCUGAGAUUGCACCACUGCACUCCAGCCUGGGCGACAGAAUGAGAUUCCGUCUCAA